GAUGAACGCUGGCGGCGUGCCUAAUACAUGCAAGUCGAGCGAACGGACGAGAAGCUUGCUUUUCUGAUGUUAGCGGCGGACGGGUGAGUAACACGUGGAUAACCUACCUAUAAGACUGGGAUAACUUCGGGAAACCGGAGCUAAUACCGGAUAAUAUUUUGAACCGCAUGGUUCAAUAGUGAAAGACGGUCUUGCUGUCACUUAUAGAUGGAUCCGCGCUGCAUUAGCUAGUUGGUAAGGUAACGGCUUACCAAGGCAACGAUGCAUAGCCGACCUGAGAGGGUGAUCGGCCACACUGGAACGGAGACACGGUCCAGACUCCUACGGGAGGCAGCAGUAGGGAAUCUUCCGCAAUGGGCGAAAGCCUGACGGAGCAACGCCGCGUGAGUGAUGAAGGUCUUCGGAUCGUAAAACUCUGUUAUUAGGGAAGAACAGAUGUGUAAGUAACUGUGCACAUCUUGACGGUACCUAAUCAGAAAGCCACGGCUAACUACGUG
This 497-nucleotide ribosomal RNA is filed under the name uncultured bacterium. Its description in RNAcentral is "partial 16S ribosomal RNA". It matches the Rfam family "Bacterial small subunit ribosomal RNA", at positions 28 to 507 of the family's 1533-position model. The record is from RNAcentral.